AGGGCACCACCAGGAGUGGAGCCUGCGGCUUAAUUCGACUCAACACGGGAAAACUCACCCGGCCCGGACACUGGAAGGAUUGACAGAUUGAGAGCUCUUUCUUGAUUCAGUGGGUGGUGGUGCAUGGCCGUUCUUAGUUGGUGGAGUGAUUUGUCUGGUUAAUUCCGAUAACGAACGAGACUCUAGCCUAUUAAAUAGAUCGUUGGCUUACAAACGCCGGCGAGACUUCUUAGAGGGACAGGCGGCGAUUCAGCCGCACGAAACAGAGCAAUAACAGGUCUGUGAUGCCCUUAGAUGUCCGGGGCCGCACGCGCGCUACACUGAAGUGAUCAGCGUGCAUUUUGAAACCUACUCUGUCAAGAGUGGGGAACCCAAUGAACCUUCUUCGUGAUUGGGAUAGGGGAUUGUAAUUAUUCCCCUUGAACGAGGAAUUCCCAGUAAGCGCGAAUCAUAAGUUUGCGCUGAUUACGUCCCUGCCCUUUGUACACACCGCCCGUCGCUACUACCGAUUGAAUGUUU
This 519-nucleotide ribosomal RNA is filed under the name uncultured eukaryote. RNAcentral's name for it is "SSU rRNA". It matches the Rfam family "Eukaryotic small subunit ribosomal RNA", at positions 1161 to 1698 of the family's 1831-position model. The record is from RNAcentral.